UUAAGUUCAGCGGGUAGUCCUACCUGAUUUGAGGUCAGAUGUCAUAUUCGAUUGUCCCGGAGGGGACGAUUAUAAGCUCGCCCGACUGAGGCUUCAACGACCACGGCGUAGACAAUUAUCACACCGAGAGCCGAUCCGCAAGGGAUGGAGCUAAUGCAUUCCAGAGGAGCCGACCCGAAUGGGGACCGGCAUGAGCCUCC
RNAcentral lists this unclassified non-coding RNA (200 nucleotides) under Grifola sp. RNAcentral describes it as "partial internal transcribed spacer 2". The record is from RNAcentral. Lineage: Eukaryota; Fungi; Basidiomycota; Agaricomycetes; Polyporales; Grifolaceae.